GCAGCGUGUUUAUAUUAACCCCUUCAGGAAGGAGUCAAUAGUACACAAAACAAAAUGUAAACUAAACCUGGAAUUUGUGCUACAUGUCUUCAACCGUAAUACACCUCUUUCAUAUUAACCCCUUAAGGACACAGCUUCAGAAGCUUGACUUACGCUUAAUGACAAGCAAUUUUUGCAUUUUCUGGCUGUUUGCGUUCAACUGCAAUUUGCAUCUCUCUCAUUUAUUG
This is a non-coding RNA of Pelobates cultripes (western spadefoot toad), 227 nucleotides long. NCBI's taxonomy places the organism in Eukaryota, Metazoa, Chordata, Amphibia, Anura, Pelobatidae. The record is from the annotation of a GenBank genome assembly.